UACGUAGGGACCGAGCGUUGUCCGGAAUCAUUGGGCGUAAAGAGCUCGUAGGCGGCUCACUAAGUCGGAUGUGAAAACUCGGGGCUCAACCCCGAGACGCCAUCCGAUACUGGUGUGGCUUGAAUCUGGUAGGGGAGAUCGGAAUUCCUGGUGUAGCGGUGGAAUGCGCAGAUAUCAGGAGGAACACCAAUAGCGAAGGCAGCUCGCUGGGACGUUACUGACACUGAGGCGCGAAAGCGUGGGGAGCGAACAGG
This 254-nucleotide ribosomal RNA is filed under the name uncultured bacterium. Its description in RNAcentral is "partial 16S ribosomal RNA". It matches the Rfam family "Bacterial small subunit ribosomal RNA", at positions 524 to 776 of the family's 1533-position model. The record is from RNAcentral.